GGGCCCGCACAAGCGGUGGAGCAUGUGGUUUAAUUCGAUGAUACGCGAGGAACCUUACCAGGGCUUAAAUGUAGUGGGACAGGUCUAGAGAUAGACCCUUCUUCGGACUCAUUACAAGGUGCUGCAUGGUUGUCGUCAGCUCGUGCCGUGAGGUGUCAGGUUAAGUCCUAUAACGAGCGCAACCCCUAUCGUUAGUUGCCAGCGGGUCAUGCCGGGAACUCUAGCGAAACUGCCGGUGCAAACCGAGAGGAAGGUGGGGAUGACGUCAAAUCAUCACGGCCCUUACGUCCUGGGCCACACACGUGCUACAAUGGCCGGCACAGAGAGCAGCCACUACGCGAGUAGGAGCGAAUCUUCAAAACCGGUCUCAGUUCGGAUCGCAGUCUGCAACUCGACUGCGUGAAGCUGGAAUCGCUAGUAAUCGGAUAUC
RNAcentral lists this ribosomal RNA (430 nucleotides) under uncultured bacterium. RNAcentral's name for it is "bacterial SSU rRNA". It matches the Rfam family "Bacterial small subunit ribosomal RNA", at positions 917 to 1350 of the family's 1533-position model. The record is from RNAcentral.